This is a long non-coding RNA of Vicia villosa (hairy vetch), 738 nucleotides long. RefSeq lists it as uncharacterized. Lineage: Eukaryota; Viridiplantae; Streptophyta; Magnoliopsida; Fabales; Fabaceae. The record is from RefSeq and is a predicted model, not a curated record. The transcript has 3 exons.
CCUAAGCAAACACGGUUCAUUCAGGUUCCCUCUUCAUCUCUCUCAAUCGACCUUUCCACUCGCCAUUGAAGCAAACACGGUGGUUCUCAUGAAGCAAAAACACAACGAACAACAUUAAACCUUCAUCCCCAACAUUACCCUAAACCCCUAAUUCAUUAAGAUUUGGUUGUCGAUUCUGCUGUUGUUCGACUUAGAUACCUCUUCUUCUCCGAUCUGCUUUUCUCCGUCUAUCUUUAUGCGAUUCUGCUGUUGUUGUUCUGCGAUUUGGUUGCCGAUUUGUUCAGGAGUUUCGUAAUUGGGAAUCCCCGUGGGCUCUUGAAGCUUUGUUCGUCAUUGUUUUCAUCACCACGGAAUCUGCAGCUUCCUCCAAAAUAAUUACUACUGCUGAUGUCCAUCAGUUUUUCGACGACAUUAAGAAUAAGCGUCACUGUAUAAAGAUAUAAGACAUCAAAUGAAACUACUUGGCUAAGAAAGAAUUUUAUAAUUUUGCCUCUGAUUCAAAGGUGAUUUUCCACUGCAGCUUCAGUUUAUAACAAGUGUAAAUGUUGUCUAUUGUUCUUUUUCUUUUUGUGUUCUCAGGAAUUAGUUUACAUACAUGUCUUAUGUUUAAAAUAUCAUUUUUUUUAGGUGGAUGUUGUUAGUUGUCAUUUUUAGUUUAUGUAUUAUGAGUCUAGGAGAUAUUACAUACAAUGCACUAUGAUAUUUGCUAAUAUUACGCAAUCUCGGAUAUAUUAAAAA